UCCUGUCGGUCCCUUGUAAAUCAGAGAAACCUUCUAGAAGGGGAGGUUUAUAUUUGGUUUCCCUUUGACCGGAAGUUAAAACCCACGUCACCUCUCCGUUCAAACCUUUUACCCAAAACUGGCUUCCUCUUCAUCUUCACUCUUAUUUCUUGCACAGAUUUGAAGGUGUGAUUUUGUAAUUAGGUCUAAUUUUGGAAUUUAGUUCACAGAGAAGAAUCGGAGCAAUGUUAGAAGAGUGAUGGCAGAUCUAGCGGAAGACUACAAAGGAAUUUCUUACGACACGACUCGAUUUCUUCUUCUUCUUCUUCAAUAAAUCUAUGUUUCUGAGAUCCAUCAAUUUUACUGACACACCGGGGAGGGAUGGUGGGCAUAUGAUGAUGGCGGUUGGUGGUGGAGGCGGAUGGUGUCUUCAGAGGAAGACAACUCUCCUCAAUGUGCAGUUGCUUAACACUGUGUAGUGCUAUACUAAGUGAUCGUUGAAAUAGGUAGAGAUGUGAUCUGUAAAAUGCAGAAUCCGGGUAAAUUAUUUGAAGAAGCAACGGAAUCAAUACAUAAGACAAAAGCGAUUAAGGAAAUGGAUAAAUUGGUGCUAUACUUGCCAGAUUAGAAAGAAGUACGGUAGUGGAUGAACACACUACUACUUCAUGGUAUGGUCCCAAUUCCCUGCCUACAUGGCAGGGACCACACCACUUU
This 693-nucleotide long non-coding RNA is filed under the name Helianthus annuus (common sunflower). Its description in RNAcentral is "sRNA HanXRQr2_Chr01g0018661". Lineage: Eukaryota; Viridiplantae; Streptophyta; Magnoliopsida; Asterales; Asteraceae. The record is from RNAcentral.